This is a long non-coding RNA of Crotalus tigris (Tiger rattlesnake), 867 nucleotides long. RefSeq lists it as uncharacterized. NCBI's taxonomy places the organism in Eukaryota, Metazoa, Chordata, Lepidosauria, Squamata, Viperidae. The transcript has 3 exons. The record is from RefSeq and is a predicted model, not a curated record.
CAUCUUAAAGAGGUUGCUCCUCCAAAAAGUGCACCCCGCUCGCCCCCUUCAAGCAAAUCCAGUGGAAAGGGCACAAAGAGACCCAGCCUCCUAGUCUCUCGUACCGGCAUCCAGCCGCCUGCUUAGGGACAGGAAGUCGGCCAUGCCGAGAAGGUCGUUCUGAAUGGAAGUGGAAGGACGGCCACAGAAACGGACAGGAAGUUGGCCCUCCCGGGGAGGUCGGUGUGUAAGACAGUGGAGGACUACUGCGCAUGUGUGACUGGAAGUUGGCAGGUCCUAGGAGUAGGUAACCCAAAACACUCGAAGAGCCACUUGGACCCAUUUACAACCGAAAACAUCUUUUAUGACUCAUGGACUUCUACUCCCAGAAUUCCUGAGUCAGCAUAGCUGGGCUAGCUAGCUCUCUCCUGCCCUUCCUGCUUCCUGCAGAGACGCAGCAAAAGGAGGAGUGCCAUCCAGUAAGCUUUUUAGCUCGUCGGAGAACACUGUGAGUCCACUCUCUUUUUUACACACACACACACACACACACAGAGAGAGAGAGAGAGAGAGAGAGAGAGAGAGAGAGAGAGAGAGAGAGAGAGAGAGGAGGGGGGAAGCACAAGUGCCUCUCUCUCUGUCUGCAGAGGAGGCUGGGAGCCGCAGGGGAAGGCUCAAAGAGCCAUAUGCGGCUCCAGAGCCGCAGGUUGCUGACUCCUAGGGGCACUCAGAGUACACCUUUGAUAAAGGAAUAUACAUAAUAAGCAAACACGUAUAAAACUGAGUUUAGUCAAAGCAGCAAAGUCUGCCCUCUUGUGGCCAGUGUGUGCUGUAACGUUUAGCAAAGAAGCCCUGAAGUGGCUUAUUUUUAUUCUUUCAUUUCCUUCCUUU